Molecule: ribosomal RNA, 487 nt
Filed under: uncultured bacterium
Lineage: Bacteria
Description: partial 16S ribosomal RNA
Rfam family: Bacterial small subunit ribosomal RNA
Source: RNAcentral
GAUGAACGCUAGCGAUAGGCUUAACACAUGCAAGUCGAGGGGCAGCACAAGGUAGCUUGCUAUCUGGGUGGCGACCGGCGCACGGGUGCGUAACGCGUAUGCAACUUGUCCUAUACAGGAGGAUAACCCGUCGAAAGACGGACUAAUACUGCGUAUGCUCACAACUUGGCAUCAAGUGGUGAGGAAAGAAAUUCGGUAUAGGAUAGGCAUGCGUCCCAUUAGCUUGUUGGUGAGGUAACGGCUCACCAAGGCAACGAUGGGUAGGGGAACUGAGAGGUUUAUCCCCCACACUGGUACUGAGACACGGACCAGACUCCUACGGGAGGCAGCAGUGAGGAAUAUUGGUCAAUGGGCGCGAGCCUGAACCAGCCAAGUCGCGUGAAGGAUGACUGUCUUAUGGAUUGUAAACUUCUUUUAUACGGGAAUAACAAGAGUCACGUGUGACUCCCUGCAUGUACCGUAUGAAUAAGCAUCGGCUAACUCCGUG